This 427-nucleotide ribosomal RNA is filed under the name Micrococcus sp. oral taxon F54. RNAcentral's name for it is "bacterial SSU rRNA". It matches the Rfam family "Bacterial small subunit ribosomal RNA", at positions 28 to 454 of the family's 1533-position model. The record is from RNAcentral. Lineage: Bacteria; Bacillati; Actinomycetota; Actinomycetes; Micrococcales; Micrococcaceae.
GAUGAACGCUGGCGGCGUGCUUAACACAUGCAAGUCGAACGAUGAAGCCCAGCUUGCUGGGUGGAUUAGUGGCGAACGGGUGAGUAACACGUGAGUAACCUGCCCUUGACUCUGGGAUAAGCCCGGGAAACUGGGUCUAAUACCGGAUAGGAGCGCCUGUCGCAUGACGGGUGUUGGAAAGAUUUUUCGGUCAUGGAUGGACUCGCGGCCUAUCAGCUUGUUGGUGAGGUAAUGGCUCACCAAGGCGACGACGGGUAGCCGGCCUGAGAGGGUGACCGGCCACACUGGGACUGAGACACGGCCCAGACUCCUACGGGAGGCAGCAGCGGGGAAUAUUGCACAAUGGGCGGAAGCCUGAUGCAGCGACGCCGCGUGAGGGAUGACGGCCCUUCGGGUUGUAAACCUCUUUUCAAGUAAGGGAAAGAAA